UGGGUGAGUAACGCGUGGGUAACCUGCCCUUAAGUCUGGGAUACCAUUUGGAAACAGAUGCUAAUACCGGAUAAAAGCUACUUUCGCAUGAAAGAAGUUUAAAAGGCGGCGUAAGCUGUCGCUAAAGGAUGGACCUGCGAUGCAUUAGCUAGUUGGUAAGGUAACGGCUUACCAAGGCGAUGAUGCAUAGCCGAGUUGAGGGACUGAUCGGCCACAUUGGGACUGAGACACGGCCCAAACUCCUACGGGAGGCAGCAGGA
Molecule: ribosomal RNA, 260 nt
Filed under: uncultured Lactobacillus sp.
Lineage: Bacteria; Bacillati; Bacillota; Bacilli; Lactobacillales; Lactobacillaceae
Description: partial 16S ribosomal RNA
Rfam family: Bacterial small subunit ribosomal RNA
Source: RNAcentral